CAUCACUACGCUAGAUGCAUAUCAAUAAGCGGAGGAAAAGAAACUAACAAGGAUUCCCCUAGUAACGGCGAGUGAAGCGGGAAGAGCUCAAAUUUGAAAUCUUAAAGGUUUUCCCUUGACGAAUUGUAGUUUAAAGAAGUGCUUUCUGUUGGAGUUUCGGUAAAAGUUCUUUGGAAUAGGACAUCAUAGAGGGUGAGAAUCCCGUAUUUGACCAUUACUUUCCAGCUGUGUGAUACACUUUCAAAGAGUCGGAUUGUUUGGGAAUGCAGUCCAAAAUGGGUGGUAAAUUUCAUCUACAGCUAAAUAUUGGCGAGAGACCGAUAGCGAACAAGUACCGUGAGGGAAAGAUGAAAAGAACUUUGAAAAGAGAGUUAAACAGUACGUGAAAUUGUCAAAAGGGAAGCGUUUGACACCAGUGUUGUUUAGUUGAAGAUCAAUUCAAUAAUUGAUGGAUUUUGAGUAGUAUUGACUUCAUCAGCUUGCUUUCUUUCAUUUGAUGCACUUUUCAGUUAACAAGUCAACAUCAAUUUCUUUUGUUGUAAAAGGGUCAUUGGAAGGUGGCUUUCUCUUCGGAGAAAGUGUUUAUAGCCUUUGAUCUCUGCAACCGGAGAGACUGAGGUCUGCAGCGUAGACUCUUCGGGGUUAAAUACAUUUGUGCUAAGCUAUAGCUUUUUAUAGACAACUUGUUGACUAUAUUUAGUCUUGUGGCUUACUCGCUUAUGCUAUUUUACCUACGCUUAGGAUGUUGACGAGACUGUCGAUCUC
This 765-nucleotide ribosomal RNA is filed under the name uncultured Neocallimastigales. Its description in RNAcentral is "partial large subunit ribosomal RNA". It matches the Rfam family "Eukaryotic large subunit ribosomal RNA", at positions 20 to 646 of the family's 3401-position model. Lineage: Eukaryota; Fungi; Neocallimastigomycota; Neocallimastigomycetes; Neocallimastigales. The record is from RNAcentral.